This 352-nucleotide unclassified non-coding RNA is filed under the name soil metagenome. Its description in RNAcentral is "partial contains 5.8S ribosomal RNA, internal transcribed spacer 2, and large subunit ribosomal RNA". The stretch from base 1 to 120 matches the Rfam family "5.8S ribosomal RNA", at positions 35 to 154 of the family's 154-position model. The record is from RNAcentral.
GAUGAAGAACGUAGCGAAAUGCGAUAAGUAGUGUGAAUUGCAGAAUUCAGUGAAUCAUCGAAUCUUUGAACGCACAUUGCGCCCGCCAGUAUUCUGGCGGGCAUGCCUGUUCGAGCGUCAUUUCAACCCUCAGGCCCCCAGUGCCUGGUGUUGGGGAUCGGCCCAGCCUUCCUGUAAGGCCGCCGGCCCCGAAAUCUAGUGGCGGUCUCGCUGUAGUCCUCCUCUGCGUAGUAGCACAACCUCGCAGUUGGAACGCGGCGGAGGCCAUGCCGUUAAACACCCCACUUCUGAAAGUUGACCUCGGAUCAGGUAGGAAUACCCGCUGAACUUAAGCAUAUCAAUAAGCGGAGGA